This 80-nucleotide non-coding RNA is filed under the name uncultured Levilactobacillus sp. The record is from RNAcentral. Lineage: Bacteria; Bacillati; Bacillota; Bacilli; Lactobacillales; Lactobacillaceae.
AUCCGACGGGGUGCCAUUACGGCUGAGAUCAAACCCAUUGAACCUGCUCUGGUUAGGACCAGCGAAGGGACGGUGUUUAU